UAGGGAAUCUUCGGCAAUGGGGGGAACCCUGACCGAGCAACGCCGCGUGAGUGAAGAAGGUUUUCGGAUCGUAAAGCUCUGUUGUUAAGGAAGAACGAGUGUGAGAAUGGAAAGUUCAUGCUGUGACGGUACUUAACCAGAAAGGGACGGCUAACUACGUGCCAGCAGCCGCGGUAAUACGUAGGUCCCGAGCGUUGUCCGGAUUUAUUGGGCGUAAAGCGAGCGCAGGCGGUUAGAAAAGUCUGAAGUGAAAGGCAGUGGCUCAACCAUUGUAGGCUUUGGAAACUGUUUAACUUGAGUGCAGAAGGGGAGAGUGAAAUUCCAUGUGUAGCGGUGAAAUGCGUAGAUAUAUGGGAGAACACCGGUGGCGAAAGCGGCACUCUGGUCUGUAACUGACGCUGAGGCUCGAAAGCGUGGGGAGCGAACAGG
RNAcentral lists this ribosomal RNA (429 nucleotides) under Bacteroidota bacterium. Its description in RNAcentral is "Bacteroidetes bacterium partial 16S ribosomal RNA". It matches the Rfam family "Bacterial small subunit ribosomal RNA", at positions 355 to 776 of the family's 1533-position model. Lineage: Bacteria; Pseudomonadati; Bacteroidota. The record is from RNAcentral.